UACGUAGGGUGCAAGCGUUAAUCGGAAUUACUGGGCGUAAAGCGUGCGCAGGCGGUUUUGUAAGACAGAUGUGAAAUGCCCGGGCUUAACCUGGGAACUGCAUUUGUGACUGCAAGGCUAGAAUCUGGCAGAGGGGGGUAGAAUUCCACGUGUAGCAGUGAAAUGCGUAGAUAUGUGGAGGAAUACCGAUGGCGAAGGCAGCCCCCUGGGCUAAGAUUGACGCUCAUGCACGAAAGCGUGGGGAGCAAACAGG
Molecule: ribosomal RNA, 253 nt
Filed under: uncultured bacterium
Lineage: Bacteria
Also listed under: 1 other name
Description: partial 16S ribosomal RNA
Rfam family: Bacterial small subunit ribosomal RNA
Source: RNAcentral